UACGAAGGGUGCAAGCGUUACUCGGAAUUACUGGGCGUAAAGCGUGCGUAGGUGGUUUGUUAAGUCCGUUGUGAAAGCCCCGGGCUCAACCUGGGAAUUGCAUUCGAGACUGCAUGGCUUGGGUGCGGAAGAGGGAAGCGGAAUUUCCGGUGUAGCGGUGAAAUGCGUAGAUAUCGGAAGGAACACCAGUGGCGAAAGCGGCUUCCUGGUCCGACACCGACGUUCAGGCACGAAAGCGUGGGGAGCAAACAGG
Molecule: ribosomal RNA, 253 nt
Filed under: uncultured bacterium
Lineage: Bacteria
Description: partial 16S ribosomal RNA
Rfam family: Bacterial small subunit ribosomal RNA
Source: RNAcentral